Diceros bicornis minor is the source of this 277-nucleotide long non-coding RNA. RefSeq lists it as uncharacterized. The record is from RefSeq and is a predicted model, not a curated record. The transcript is spliced from 3 exons. Lineage: Eukaryota; Metazoa; Chordata; Mammalia; Perissodactyla; Rhinocerotidae.
CAACAAUGGCCGCCGCCAAUGUCCCAGUCCCUGGAGAGGUCUCACCUCUCGGCGAGAUGCACUCAGGGCCUAUCAGGAGUUCCUCUCAUCCAGUUUUCAGUUCUGUUUCAGGGGUAAUUUUUCCACGAGAAGUUGUAAAUUGGCUGUGUCCGCGGGAGGAGGCAUCGUAGAAAGUGGUCACAGAGACAGUUUUCUGGGAUGGCAACUUCUCCACAUAAGGACUUUCUCCAAACCCACCUAAAAUGAUCAAAGAUUUAUCUAUAUUAAAUAAAAUUGA